UACAGAGGUCCCAAGCGUUACUGAGAAUCACUGGGCUUAAAGGGCGCGUAGGCGGUCCGUUAAGUCAGUUGUGAAAUCCCCGGGCUCAACCCGGGAACUGCUUCUGAUACUGGCGGACUUGAGGCCAGUAGGGGUCACUAGAACUGACGGUGGAGCGGUGAAAUGCGUAGAUAUCGUCAGGAAUGCCGGUGGUGAAGACGGGUGACUGGGCUGGUUCUGACACUGAGGCACGAAAGCGUGGGGAGCGAACGGG
Molecule: ribosomal RNA, 253 nt
Filed under: uncultured bacterium
Lineage: Bacteria
Description: partial 16S ribosomal RNA
Rfam family: Bacterial small subunit ribosomal RNA
Source: RNAcentral